GAGUUCAUGCCCUUCGGGGUAGAUCUCCCACCCUUGAAUAUUAUACCUUAGUUGCUUUGGCAGGCCGGGGCAACCCCCCGGGCUCAGGCCUGGGAGUGCCUGCCAGAGGACCUAAAACUCUUGUUUAAUCAUAUUGUCUGAGUACUAUAUAAUAGUUAAAACUUUCAACAACGGAUCUCUUGGUUCU
RNAcentral lists this unclassified non-coding RNA (187 nucleotides) under rhizosphere metagenome. Its description in RNAcentral is "partial ribosomal RNA internal transcribed spacer region". The record is from RNAcentral.